Molecule: ribosomal RNA, 876 nt
Filed under: Chloroflexi bacterium enrichment culture
Lineage: Bacteria; Bacillati; Chloroflexota
Description: bacterial SSU rRNA
Rfam family: Bacterial small subunit ribosomal RNA
Source: RNAcentral
GAUGAACGCUGGCGGCGUGCCUAACACAUGCAAGUCGAACGUGAGAGUGGAACAAGCGCUUCGGUGUGAGUUCUGCUUGAAAGUGGCGGACGGGUGAGUAACACGUGGGUGACCUGCCUUGGAGUGGGGGAUAACCAUUGGAAACGAUGGCUAAUACCGCAUGGGUCUGUAGCGAUGGGAAUCGUUGCGGGCAAAGCUUUGGCGCUUCAAGAGGGGCCUGCGGCCGAUUAGCUAGUUGGUGAGGUAAAGGCUCACCAAGGCGGAGAUCGGUAGCUGGUCUGAGAGGACGAUCAGCCACACGGGAACUGAGAAACGGUCCCGACUCCUACGGGGGGCAGCAGUGAGGAAUAUUGCACAAUGGGGGGAACCCUGAUGCAGCAACGCCGCGUGGAGGAUGAAGGUCUUCGGAUUGUAAACUCCUUUUAUCGGGGAAGAGGAAGGACGGUACCCGGUGAAUAAGUCACGGCUAACUACGUGCCAGCAGCCGCGGUAAUACGUAGGUGGCGAGCGUUAUCCGGAAUUACUGGGCGUAAAGGGCACGCAGGCGGCCUAUCAAGUCUGACGUGAAAGCUCCUGGCUUAACUGGGAGAGGUCGUUGGAAACUGAGAGGCUUGAGGCGAUGAGAGGGGUGCGGAAUUCCCGGUGUAGUGGUGGAAUGCGUAGAUAUCGGGAGGAACACCAGUGGCGAAAGCGGCGCCCUAGCAUCGGCCUGACGCUCAUGUGCGAAAGCGUGGGGAGCGAACGGGAUUAGAUACCCCGGUAGUCCACGCUGUAAACGAUGAGCACUAGGUGUAGGGCGGUGUCAAAGCUGUCUGUGCCGAAGCAAACGCGAUAAGUGCUCCGCCUGGGGAGUACGGCCGCAAGGCUAAAACUCAA